GUUAGCCUGGACAGACCAUACACACACUCAAGGUGAUACGGCAACCAGAAGAGGGUGAAAGCAGCAAUGAUGAUGAGGAUGAGAAAGUUUCCUCUUCCCUUACGCUGGAACAUGGCGCUGCGCAGCCGAAGGAUGACUGAGAUGUAGCAGAACAGGAUGAAGGCGAAGGGCAGCAGGAAGCCCAGCAGAGUCUCAGACAGAUACCGGAUGAAAAGCGGAGAACUCAGGAGCACCAGAGCAUCAGCCACGGCCAGAUUCAGAAUCAGCAGACAGGUGACAGAGCGGCGCCGCACUCGACACAGUACCGACCACACUACAAACAGGUUACCGGGAAAACCAAACACAAAAGCGAUAACCAGGAUCGCAAUGCCAAUCUGAUGGGACAGGGGCAGGGAUGGUGGUGUAGAUGGGGGAGCGGGCACAACGGCGGAUGCAGGUGGUCCAGAGAAGACCGGAGUUAAAGGAGUUGCCAUUUGAAUCAAACUUUAUGGUGUUGCUUCUUGAAUUUACUGUGGAAAGAAAGCAAACAGAGCAAGAACAUCAAAACCAACAUCUAUUUCCCUUUCAUCUGUAGGCUAUAAUUAUUUGUCAAACACAUUUGUGGUUCUCUGUUGCUGGACAGUUAGAGACAAUGUCGUAUCAUGAUUUCUUGAAAUCGUUCGGUUCUUGAAAAUAGAGCC
RNAcentral lists this long non-coding RNA (680 nucleotides) under Danio rerio (zebrafish). Its description in RNAcentral is "si:ch211-272h9.7 (ENSDARG00000095105.3)". Lineage: Eukaryota; Metazoa; Chordata; Actinopteri; Cypriniformes; Danionidae. The record is from RNAcentral.